AAAUGCCCAGCUCGCCCUUUCCAUCCACAUUCCUCUGCUCAUUCAACAGAACCAUCUGGUGUGUGCCUACCAUGUGCUGAGGACUUAGAAGCAACACCUCAGUCAUUUUCCUUGGGGAUCUCUCAGUCUGUCAGCUGUGGUGAUAGGGACAGGCAACCCAUAAGACAGGUGGGGAAGGGAGCACCGAAAGUCAAUGAAGAGAUGUGAUCUGGAGUGAUUUACUACCAGGCCAAGUGACAGUCACCCUAUUUUGCUAUUUUUUAAUUACCAUUUCGAAUUAAUAAUGUGUCUCUUCCCACGCAUCCCCCUCAGAGUGGGGCGUAAACACCUUUGUAUGUGACUGUGCAGAGCUUUGAAGCUCCCAGAACAGCAGCCCUCCUGCCUUGCCUUCUCCCCAGGUAAUGUGACCCAGGCCUGUCCUUGGCUGCAGCCACCAACCCCACCCGGAGCGGCUGUCUGAACUGCCUGGCCUGCCUGGGUCUCCACGAAGGCCAGGAUCAGGCAGAAGGCGAUGGAGGCACCUCCCGCCUUUGCUUCGUUAGUCCCAGGACGAGCGGGCCCGCGCGUACCCGGAGAGGGGCGGCGGCGCGGGUGGCCUGGCGGGUCCCGGGGCCUCGGUUCGCAUCGGAGUCCCCUCUGUGCUCGCCCUGCAGCCGCUGCCCGAGAGGUCUGAGUCGCCACCAGCUGUGUCCGCGGGGAUGUGGGGAGCGAGAUGGGAGGGGUCGCCCGCUAGUCGUCCCCGCCGGACACCGGGCACCGCGUAGCCUCAGAGAGCCGCCCGGACGCGGGGCCGCCCUGGGGAGCGGGUGAGGCCGAGGACCAGGGGGAAGGAGGAGCCCGUGGACGGCUGCAGCCCCAGAUAAGAAGCUACAGCAUCUGUCAAGAGCCGUAUGUAGCUUGAGAUGACUACCUGAAGAUGUAUCAUGGUAUCAGCUGGUUAGUUAAGAAGUCGUUUUCCAGCUUCAACUGGCAAGUAACAAGCCAAGCAAGAAUUUCAAUGGAAAAUUACAGAGAUACUAACAGGUUUGAGUACUUAUGAAUACAAAAUAAAUAAACGGAUUUAAAUUACUUUAUUAUUACAAUGCAGAAAUGAGGAAGUGUAAUAGCCAGCUAGUCUUGGAACAUGGCACUGUGAAUGAAAUGAUUAAUUGCAUAUUCAUCUGGUCUCAGAUACAGGACAUUCUCUUGCAUAGGUUAAAUGUAUUAAUGGUAGAGAAUUAUGCAAAAAAUACUCAUUUUCUCCAAUACCAGAACAUACAGGAAGCAAGUAAAGUGAGUGCCUUUUUACCAAUAGUACCAGUAGAUAAGAAGAUAAGAUACAGAUAAUAAAGCACAGAGCAUUGCACAGAUCUACACCAAUGGAUUGGAAUGGAAUGUAGGAUUCUCUUCUUGCUGUGGACACCAUCAAAAUGUGAGAUCACUUCUCUGCUCAAUAGGACAAUCAUACUGAUUCCUUAGGAAGACAUAUAGGAAUCAGUAGAGGGAGAUCCUACCCUGGAAUCGUUUGAUGUCCUUGGGUUAUCUUCCUCUACAAAAAGGGCUAGUUGAAAUAAUGACAUGUGGGAGAUCAGCACUCCAAGUCAAAAUUGCAAAACAGAAGAAAAUUCCAGAAUUAUAUCACUGUUAAGAUAGCAACAAAUAAAUAAUUUGCACCCUACAACCCAUGUGUGAAUUUAAUUCUGGAAAACCCAAUCUGAGACAGGGACAUCCAUCACCAUGUGAAAAAGCCUGGGAUAGUCUGCUGGAAGAAAAUGUAACUUGCAGAGAAUAGAACAGAUAAACCUUGCAGUGUACCCAGUUGGAUUUCAGAACAUUGAAGAGCAGCAGCUUUUAUGGGAAUAAGAGUGUCCCUUACAGGAUGCUUUGCUUCCUCUCCUCCUGCCCUUGGAUAUCAGACUCCAGGUUCUUCGGCCUUUGGACUCUGGGACUUGCACCAGCAGCCUCCAAGGGACUCUCAGGCCUUUGGCCUCAGACUGAGGGUUGCACUGUCAGCUUCCCUGGUUUUGAGGCUUUCAGACUUGGACUGAGCUACACUACUAGCUUCUCUCUUUCCCCAGCUUGCCAACGGCCUAUCAUGAGACUUUGCCUUGUAAUUGUGUGAGCCAGUUCUCCCUAGAAAACUCUCUUACAUAUAUACGUACAUCUUAUUGGUUUUGUCUCUUUCAAGAACCCUGUGCCCAAACAACAGGGCCCAAACAAAGCUGUGCUCCAUCAUUCUGGGGUACUACUGCUGCUGCUGCUGAUGCACUUGGCCUUGCAGAGCCUAGGAUACUGUUGUGCCCGACCAUCCCAGGGGCUAGAGUCACUACUACAAGAUUCUUUAUCCUCCAGGACCCAAACUACCAGUGAGCCAUAAUGGUUCAGGUUCACAAAUUGCAUCCAUAGCCUUAUCCCUGGGCUCAAACCUGUAGAGCAUCCCUUCUUCCCCAGAGUUGGCCCAGCGCUGUGCCCUGUUUCCUAGGGAUAGAAUCACAGCCCCCUAGAAUCACCAUUUGAGCUGCUAAAGAAUGCCACAGCAUCACAUAUCCUGGCUCUGGAAACAACCUACAUCCAAUCCCGUCACAGAGAGCAAACCUGCAUCCCAAGACCCAGGUGCCACUAUAGGCUCAUGAGCCCAUGAGCCUAGGACCCUCAACCUACAGCCAUUCUGAGCAUCUGCACCUGAAACUCAGGACUGCAGCAGCUGUUUUUAGGCCAUGUCAAAACUGACACCAAGAAAGAUUCUCUUGGGUAAGUCUCCCUAUUGUGAGGAAAACAAGAAUAGGAGGACCCCAAAGAACAUUGGUACCAAGAACAUUAAUAACGUAUGCCCCUGACACUGCCACAGACUUUUACAGACUAGGUCACUGAGGCACCCACACUUACUGUUGAUGUCUAUUGCAGCUGAAAAAGCUACACGGAGAUUAUACCACUGCAUCUAUCCAGAAACAGAGUCACUACACCUUUUCCAAAUAACGUACUAUAACUCAAAUGCAAGUGAAAAUCUUUCUCCACCAAAGCCACGCUAGAAAGCUUGUAAGUGGUUAUUGUUCUACCAGACACACAGGCAUGAAUUCAGGGACACAAGAAACAUGAAGAAGCAGGGAAAUAAGAUACCACCAAAGGAACAUAAGAACUGUUUAGUAGCAAAUCCCAAUGCAAAGGAAAUCAAUGAAUUGCUGGAAAAGAAAUUCAAAGUAAUGAUCUUAAGAAAAUUAAAUAAGAUACAAGAAAAUAGAGAUAGACAAUUCAACAAAUUCAGGAAAACACUUCAUCAUAUGAACGAGAAAUUCAACAAAGAGUUAGAAAUUAUAAAAAAGAACAAAACAAAUCCUGCAACUGAAUAAUUCAAUGAAAGAACUAAGAAAUGCAAUCGAGAGCUUUAACAGUAUACUUGAUUAAACAGAGUAAAGAAUUACAGAACAUGAAAUAGGUCAUUUGAAAUUACCCAGUUAGAAAAAAUAUGGUAAUCAUCCUGAUUUGACCACAACAUAUUGUAUACAUGUAUUGAAUUCCCAUAAACCUAAACAAUUAUAUGUCAAUUAAAAAUAACAACAUUUUUAAAACCCACAAGACUGUAAACACCAAUGAAAAAAAGCACACAAUUAACAAUUAUUUUAAUUUGAUUUAUUAUUUUUAACUUUCGUUCCUGUUGAUUAUAUGCAUCCCUAUUUCUUCUUUGAUGAUUUUAAUGCAUACACUUUAAAUUUCUUUUAGAAAAUAAUCAUGUCUGGUACAUUUCCAAAGCAAUCAAAUUGCUUGAGUUUCAUAGAAGCAUGUUCAGCCUUCAAAUAGUGAUUAUGAUUUCACCCAACCCAUUCUGAUAUAAAUAACAAGUGUAAAAAGUAGAUUUUGUUUCCUAAGUUCUUUGAUGUCUCAUCAUCAGGACUCCUUCCUCUUGUGUUAAGCAACAUUGCCAGCCAAUCUUGACAGUUACUGUCACCAUUCAGUUUUCUUUAUAAGAAAUGAUCUGAGUAAGUGUGAGAUGCAGAUGAGAUAGACUAAUAAAUCCUAUGGGGCUCAGUUGAUUGUCUUAUAGAGAUGUCAUACUCCACUAGGUUCCACUUCCUUGGUAUUUAAAUUUUUCAUUAUAUUGGAACUAAAAAUAAUAAAAAGCUUAGAAAAAUAUUUGAAAUUUGCCAUCACUGUAACAUGAAAAUUUAAUUAGUUUUGCAUUUUGGCACCAAGAAGCAUGUCAUUUUCUUCUGUCUGAUUCAAAAAAUUCACAAAUGUAAGCAAAAAUGAAACUCCUAAUGUUAAUGAAACUUUUCUUCAGUUCUACACCAACCUAAGCUCAGAGUAGAGGUGAAUAGCUCCUAGGAAAUCUAUAAAACUUUAUCUUUUGGGAAGACU
RNAcentral lists this long non-coding RNA (4332 nucleotides) under Homo sapiens (human). RNAcentral's name for it is "HSALNT0076614". Lineage: Eukaryota; Metazoa; Chordata; Mammalia; Primates; Hominidae. The record is from RNAcentral.